AAACUUUAGAUCUGCUUGACAGCAGUGGCAGCACCAGCUUCUGCAGAGUAGGAGAGUAAUGGCAGAGUAGGAGGGUAAUGGGUGAGAGUAAGACCAUGCCCUUUUUGCCUUGUUUCAGUGCAUUGCAGCAGGUGAAUUUUUCCUAGAUGAAAAUCUGAUCUACCCCCACCUAAUGCUUUUUAAUCAAUUUCUAGAAAAAAUAUGUUGUCCAUGUUUUGGCAAAAGUGGGAGGGGGUAGUUACCCUAUAGAGGUUUUUUAAGAGAUCUCUAUACUUAAAAUAAAUGGAACGAACUCACUGCUUGAGAAUUCAAAUAAAUAAACAAAUCUUUCAUUUCUCCAUCUCAAUUUCAUUCCUCGAUCCUUACUAACUGAACUAUCGCACACCAUAACAUAAACUUACAUAAACUAUACUGUUUCCAUGGAUAUGAGUUAAUGUGCAGUGCAAUUAGAAACAACAAAGAGUAUAUGAACAUCGCAAAACAAGCAACUGCUAGAAAUGAGCGACGUUGCUAAAACGAGGAACAAGCGGAACAAGAGGAACAACCCAGUAACAACCCAGUAACAAGCGGAACAACCAAGGAACAAGCAGAACAACCCAGAAACAAGCGGAAAUGUGAAUUAUUGUUUAGUAAAUACCACAUGGGGGCGUUUAUAAUCCAACUCUCUGAAGUUCGUGUGGGCUAGAACUAUCAAGAGGCCGUCAAUCAUGUCUUCGUCUGUUUCGGAGGCUUUGUGAUUUUGCCAACGGACAGAGAGAAUCUAUCGACCCCGGAUCGGGACGAAAAAUAAAUAGUAAAGCAUGCGUAUACAUUCGAUCACAACAGACACACUGUUGUAAAUAGAUGUGCAUGCCAUAGUGUAAAUCUGUACAUGUAGCCCUGUUGCAAUCACAUUUUUCAGGCCCGUCGGAGCCGGGGGGCUGGGGGGGGGGUUUCUGAAGCCCCACCAAUAAUUGUCUUACUGUAGUAUGUUUCCUUUAUAACAAUGUACUGCAUGGGAAGGAAUAUAAUGGGCAGCCUCUUACAACUUAUAAUUUGGAUUAAAGAAGAGGUUAACUUUCCGCCUCAAUCAAAAUGAUUCUAGGCAAACCAUCAGUUUCCUGGUUCCUGGAUUUUCCGACUUUUAUCCCACGACAGGGCAUGAUUUUUCUUGUAGGCAUAUCAAUGUCAUUUUUCUCCCCAGGCGAUUGAAUGGCGCAAUAUCGUGAAAUUUUGAUGGUAGGGUGACAAACACGCAACCGAUGUUUGGCGUUUCCAUCAUCAUCAUCAUAAAAAAAUUUAUUUAUCUAAAUAAAUAUAGUUGAAGAGCCAUAAUACACUCUAAAUACAAUCAUAUCUAAGUACACAAAAUAUAACGACAUCAGAAAUAUUAAAUAAAUAUUUUGACAUAUUCAGAUAUUCUUAUUUUCAUUUAGCUUUAAAUUCUUUCCUAUAAAACAUGGCAAGUAGAUAAACAUUUCCAGAAGACCAGAGGUUUUCCGACAAAAUAGGAGUCUAGCUCGAGGGGCAAAUCACUCCAAGAAAAUCUUGUACACCUUUUAUAAAAAUCCUAUUGCUUUAAUCCCUACCCUUUUGAAUAGUAAUGUAGUUAAAUUACAAUCUCAAAUUAUUAACAAUUUGCCCCAAAGACGGUUGCCAAGAAAUGAAAUAUUACUUAGUGCCUGAUAGUGGCUAACUAUGUAGAAAAACCUUAUUCCAGGAAGUGGGCUUGCUAGGUGCACCAGCCCUUGUACUGCCUGGAGAAUACCGAUUUUUAAGGUCGGUGUCACCACUGGGAACAUUUUCCCGCCCACAGAACACAUUUGAUGUGUUCCCACCAGACACCGAUCUCUACUACCUUCCUUCUGACCUACUUAGAACUUGAAAUCUAUCACCCACCAGCUGAAACAAGCAAAGCGCAGAGUGAAGGAAGCGAGAAGAAGAAGUGGAUCAGAAUGCAGAGCAGAACAAAGAAUAGGAGACUUACAGGACAGGCAGCAAGAUCGCGGACCUUGAAGAGCAAUCAUCCACUUGAAGGCUGGCAAUAAAAAAGGCUGGAUGACAUAGUUAGCACCCAAAAAAAUAACAAAUAUAAUAGCGCAAGAUCGCGGACCUUGCUGAGCAAUCAGCCACUUGGAGGCUGGUAACAAAAAGGUUGGAUGACACAGUUAGCACCCAAAAAAUAACAAAUAUAAUAGCGCAAGAUCGCGGAUCUUGCUGAGCAAUAAGCCAUUGGAUGGCUUGCAACCAAUAACACUGGGUACUCGGCUAGCACCCGCAUAAUGCAAGUUCAUGGACCUUGCUAAGCAAUCAGCCACUUGAAGGCUGGUAACAAAAAGGUUGGAUGACACAGUUAGCACCCAAAAAAUAACAAAUAUAAUAGCGCAAGAUCGCGGAUCUUGCUGAGCAAUCAGCCACUUGAAGGCUGGUAACAAAAAGGUUGGAUGACACAGUUAGCACCCAAAAAAUAACAAAUAUAAUAGCGCAAGAUCGCGGAUCUUGCUGAGCAAUAAGCCAUUGGAUGGCUUGCAAGCAAUAACACUGGGUACUCGGCUAGCACCCGCAUAAUGCAAGUUCAUGGACCUUGCUAAGCAAUCAGCCACUCGAUGGCUGGCAAUAAAAAGGUUGGAUGACACAGUUAGCACCCAAAAAUAACAAAUAUAAUAGCGCAAGAUCGCGGACCUUGCUGAGCAAUCAGCCACUUGAAGGCUGGCAAUAAAAAGGUUGGAUGACACAGUUAGCACCCAAAAAAUAACAAAUAUAAUAGCGCAAGAUCACGGAUCUUGCUGAGCAAUAAGCCAUUGGAUGGCUUGCAAGCAAUAACACUGGGUACUCGGCUAGCACCCGCAUAAUGCAAGUUCAUGGACCUUGCUAAGCAAUCAGCCACUCGAUGGCUGGCAAUAAAAAGGUUGGAUGACACAGUUAGCACCCAAAAAAAUAACAAAUACAAUAGCGCAAGAUCGCGGACCUUGCUGAGCAAUCAGCCACUUGAAGGCUGGCAAUAAAAAGGUUGGAUGACACAGUUAGCACCCAAAAAAAUAACAAAUCUAAUAGCGCAAGAUCACGGAUCUUGCUGAGCAAUAAGCCAUUGGAUGGCUUGCAACCAAUAACACUGGGUACUCGGCUAGCACCCGCAUAAUGCAAGUUCAUGGACCUUGCUAAGCAAUCAGCCACUCGAAGGCUGGCAAUAAAAAGGUUGGAUGACACAGUUAGCACCCAAAAAAAUAACAAAUACAAUAGCGCAAGAUCGCGGACCUUGCUGAGCAAUCAGCCACUUGAAGGCUGGCAAUAAAAAAGAUUGGAUGACACAGUUAGCACCCAUAAAAAUAACAAAUAUAAUAGCGCAAGAUCACGGAUCUUGCUGAGCAAUAAGCCAUUGGAUGGCUUGCAACCAAUAACACUGGGUACUCGGCUAGCACCCGCAUAAUGCAAGUUCAUGGACCUUGCUAAGCAAUCAGCCACUCGAUGGCUGGCAAUAAAAAGGUUGGAUGACACAGUUAGCACCCAAAAAAUAACAAAUAUAAUAGCGCAAGAUCACGGAUCUUGCUGAGCAAUAAGCCAUUGGAUGGCUUGCAACCAAUAACACUGGGUACUCGGCUAGCACCCGCAUAAUGCAAGUUCAUGGACCUUGCUAAGCAAUCAGCCACUCGAUGGCUGGCAAUAAAAAGGUUGGAUGACACAGUUAGCACCCAAAAAAUAACAAAUAUAAUAGCGCAAGAUCGCGGACCUUGCUGAGCAAUAAGCCAUUGGAUGGCUUGAAGCAAUAACACUGGGUACUCGGCUAGCACCCGCAUAAUGCAAGUUCAUGGACCUUGCUAAGCAAUCAGCCACUCGAUGGCUGGCAAUAAAAAGGUUGGAUGACACAGUUAGCACCCAAAAAAUAACAAAUAUAAUAGCGCAAGAUCGCGGACCUUGCUGAGCAAUAACCCAUUGGAUGGCUUGCAAGCAAUAACACUGGGUAUUCGGCUAGCACCCGCAUAAUGCAAGUUCAUGGACUUUGCUAAGCAAUCAGCCACUCGAUGGCUGGCAAUAAAAGUUGGCAAUCUUGCUGAGCAAUGAGCAAUCUGAAAGCUUGCAAGCUAAAACACUGGGUACUCGGCUAGCACCCGCAUAAAGCAAGAUCACGGAUUAAAGGUUGAAAGGGCACAGUUAACACACAAAAUUAACAAAAUGUAAUAGUGCAAGAUCACAGAUCUUGCUGAGCAAUAAGCCAUUUGAUGGCUUGCAAUAACAUGUUUUAAUGACACAGUUAGCACACAAAAUCACAAAUAAUAAUAACAUUGCAAGAUCUUGGGGCCUGCUGAGCAAGCAGACAUUCAACUUCUGACAAUAAAAAUGCUAGACGAUACAGUUUGCACCCAAAAAUCACAAACAAUUAAUUUAGCAAGAUCACAGACCUUGCUGAGCAACAAGCCAUUAGAUGGCUUGCAAGUAAUAAACACUUGGUAUUCAGCUCGGACCUACCUAAUGCAGAUAAACUUUAACUUGAAAGCAAGCAGUCAUUUAAUGGCAGGGUUGCUGAUGAACAACUACUGGAUGACACAGUUGACACCCAAAAAUAACAAGGACUAAACACUGGCUUGUAGUGACAUCAUAAUGGGCGGCACAGCUGGGACACAAGAAAACAAUACAAGAUCAACCAGACCUUACUAAGCAAUAAGCGAUACAAUGGCUUGUAAAAAUAUAAUACUAGAAGACACCCCAGAUAUAAUUAACGAUUAACCAAUGGUUGAUAAGGGAAGAUAAUUCCACCACAUGGCUUGUAAUGAUAAAAUAUUGGGUGAAACAGCUAGCACCCAAACAAAACUCAACCAGAUCCUGAUAAGUUAAGCAACAUUUAAGCUUGCAAUAAUAACACACUGGGGGCCCUGCUAGCACCCAAAUGACAAGAGCAAUACCAACCCAAUCUCGAUAAGCAAAAGGACACAUCAUUAGCAACAAACAUAUGCUUGCCUGUAAUUAUCAAAAACUAAGUCACACAAGUAGCGCUUUAAGACAGAACAAACAAACAAAAUUGCAGGACCAUUGCAAGUAUGUUCAACCUCCCAUCCCACUGAAAAGCUGUACAGGGAAACCCUAUGAGCUUCGUUAGACUUACAUUAUCCCAAACAGGACACACGUUGAUAACAAUGAUAAUUAGCUGAAGAGUUUCACUCCAAUCUAAAUAUUGGUAUUAUCAUUAUUAUUAUUAUUAUUAUCGUUAUUUUUAUUAUUACUACCAUUAAACAUUUCUAUCUGCUGCACCUACAAUAUCUUCUGUGGUCAAAACAAACCAUGGCUAAGCCCCAAACUGAUUGACUUCUAAAUAUUGUAAAGCAGAUUACCCAUUUAUAUCUUUAUUAUUAUCCACCAGAUUUUGAAAGUAGAUCUACACUUUGGUUUGCAAUAGUAACAUUUGUGACGCAGUGUGCCCACAAACAAUACUGCAAGAUCAGCAGAAUUUGCUAUGGGAAAAAACUAUGACAUGUCCGACAUUUUUUUAUUAUUUUUUUUUUAUUUUUUUUUUUUUUUUUUUUUUUUUUUUAUUUUUGGAUAGCACAGUUAGCACUCCAACAAUAAUGCAAGAUCAACCGGAUCUUGAUAAGUAGAAGCCACAACGUGGCUUUCAAUAGAAUACUUGGCGAUACAGGGAGCAGCCAAACAAUACUGCAAGAUCAGCAUAACUUUGAGUUGUAAUGAGCCACAGUGAAACUUGUAAAGCCAUAUACUGGGAGUGCACAUUAGCACCCAACAACUAUAAUACCAGAUCAGCCAGAUGUUGAUUAGCAAAAGACAUAAGGUACUAAAUUAAUUGGUAACACCCAAUGAUAAUGCAAGAUCGGCUUGAUUUGGAGAAAAACAAUACAGGAACUACAAGGCAAUCAUAUAUUAUUCUCAACUUUGGAGCAGUGACUAACUAUUUAGCAGUAAUUCUUCUUAAAUUAUGACAGAUACACAGUAGAUAUUCUCCCCUGGUCUUGUGUUAAACAAUUUGCAUUUUUUGCGAGUUUAACCCUUAUGGUAUGGUAGGGUAUUCGUGUGUAUCUUCCAUGUAACUUUAUUUUAAAAUAAACGUGCAGAGUUUUAGAAUAACCCAUCUGCUGCCCUAGAAUAACCCAACAUCUAAACUGCAAUGGAAGGUCAGCCUCACAUCUUAAGCAGUGAGCUAUCUGAUAACACCAAACAAGGCAGAUGACCUCAGGAAGGCUAUGUAAUACCAACCUAUAUUGUGAUAAGCAGAAACCCAAUACGACGGAGCUUUGCUAAACAGCCAGAUUCAAGAUCUGCCAGAGAGCCAUAUAUAACAAAAACUUUAAACAAAGGAAUUGCAUCAUAUAAACUGUAGGCGAGUAGCUAGUACCCACGACCAGAAAAAACAAAAA
Non-coding RNA from Rhopilema esculentum, 6341 nucleotides. NCBI's taxonomy places the organism in Eukaryota, Metazoa, Cnidaria, Scyphozoa, Rhizostomeae, Rhizostomatidae. The record is from RefSeq and is a predicted model, not a curated record.